This 242-nucleotide ribosomal RNA is filed under the name uncultured bacterium. Its description in RNAcentral is "partial 16S ribosomal RNA". It matches the Rfam family "Bacterial small subunit ribosomal RNA", at positions 92 to 334 of the family's 1533-position model. The record is from RNAcentral.
CGACCGGCGCACGGGUGAGUAACGCGUAUCCAACCUGCCUUACACUCUUGGACAGCCUUCUGAAAGGGAGAUUAAUACAAGAUGUUAUCAUGAGUAAGCAUUUUCGCAUGAUUAAAGGUAUUCCGGUAGACGAUGGGGAUGCGUUCCAUUAGAUAGUAGGCGGGGUAACGGCCCACCUAGUCUUCGAUGGAUAGGGGUUCUGAGAGGAAGGUCCCCCACAUUGGAACUGAGACACGGUCCAA